GCGGGUGUGGCGGAACUGGCAGACGCACCAGACUUAGGAUCUGGCGCCGCAAGGCGUGGGGGUUCGACUCCCUUCACCCGCA
Molecule: transfer RNA, 82 nt
Filed under: Neobacillus sp. OS1-2
Lineage: Bacteria; Bacillati; Bacillota; Bacilli; Caryophanales; Bacillaceae
Also listed under: 1 other name
Description: tRNA-Leu
Rfam family: tRNA
About the family: Transfer RNA (tRNA) molecules are approximately 80 nucleotides in length. Their secondary structure includes four short double-helical elements and three loops (D, anti-codon, and T loops).
Source: RNAcentral